UUUAUGGAGAGUUUGAUCCUGGCUCAGAGUGAACGCUGGCGGCGUGCCUAAUACAUGCAAGUCGAACGAUGAAGCUUCUAGCUUGCUAGAAGUGGAUUAGUGGCGCACGGGUGAGUAACGCAUAGGUCAUGUGCCUCUUAGUUUGGGAUAGCCAUUGGAAACGAUGAUUAAUACCAGAUACUCCCUACGGGGGAAAGAUUUAUCGCUAAGAGAUCAGCCUAUGUCCUAUCAGCUUGUUGGUAAGGUAAUGGCUUACCAAGGCUAUGACGGGUAUCCGGCCUGAGAGGGUGAACGGACACACUGGAACUGAGACACGGUCCAGACUCCUACGGGAGGCAGCAGUAGGGAAUAUUGCUCAAUGGGGGAAACCCUGAAGCAGCAACGCCGCGUGGAGGAUGAAGGUUUUAGGAUUGUAAACUCCUUUUGUUAGAGAAGAUAAUGACGGUAUCUAACGAAUAAGCACCGGCUAACUCCGUGCCAGCAGCCGCGGUAAUACGGAGGGUGCAAGCGUUACUCGGAAUCACUGGGCGUAAAGAGCGCGUAGGCGGGAUAGUCAGUCAGGUGUGAAAUCCUAUGGCUUAACCAUAGAACUGCAUUUGAAACUACUAUUCUAGAGUGUGGGAGAGGUAGGUGGAAUUCUUGGUGUAGGGGUAAAAUCCGUAGAGAUCAAGAGGAAUACUCAUUGCGAAGGCGACCUGCUGGAACAUUACUGACGCUGAUUGUGCGAAAGCGUGGGGAGCAAACAGGAUUAGAUACCCUGGUAGUCCACGCCCUAAACGAUGGAUGCUAGUUGUUGGAGGGCUUAGUCUCUCCAGUAAUGCAGCUAACGCAUUAAGCAUCCCGCCUGGGGAGUACGGUCGCAAGAUUAAAACUCAAAGGAAUAGACGGGGACCCGCACAAGCGGUGGAGCAUGUGGUUUAAUUCGAAGAUACACGAAGAACCUUACCUAGGCUUGACAUUGAGAGAAUCCGCUAGAAAUAGUGGAGUGUCUAGCUUGCUAGACCUUGAAAACAGGUGCUGCACGGCUGUCGUCAGCUCGUGUCGUGAGAUGUUGGGUUAAGUCCCGCAACGAGCGCAACCCCCUUUCUUAGUUGCUAACAGGUCAUGCUGAGAACUCUAAGGAUACUGCCUCCGUAAGGAGGAGGAAGGUGGGGACGACGUCAAGUCAUCAUGGCCCUUACGCCUAGGGCUACACACGUGCUACAAUGGGGUGCACAAAGAGAAGCAAUACUGCGAAGUGGAGCCAAUCUUCAAAACACCUCUCAGUUCGGAUUGUAGGCUGCAACUCGCCUGCAUGAAGCUGGAAUCGCUAGUAAUCGCAAAUCAGCCAUGUUGCGGUGAAUACGUUCCCGGGUCUUGUACUCACCGCCCGUCACACCAUGGGAGUUGUGUUUGCCUUAAGUCAGGAUGCUAAACUAGCUACUGCCCACGGCACACACAGCGACUGGGGUGAAGUCGUAACAAGGUAACCGUAGGUGAACCUGCGGUUGGAUCACCUCCUUU
This 1503-nucleotide ribosomal RNA is filed under the name Helicobacter pylori. RNAcentral's name for it is "bacterial SSU rRNA". It matches the Rfam family "Bacterial small subunit ribosomal RNA". The record is from RNAcentral. Lineage: Bacteria; Pseudomonadati; Campylobacterota; Epsilonproteobacteria; Campylobacterales; Helicobacteraceae.